RNAcentral lists this long non-coding RNA (406 nucleotides) under Nicotiana benthamiana. Its description in RNAcentral is "long non-coding RNA (NBEN_LNC008707)". Lineage: Eukaryota; Viridiplantae; Streptophyta; Magnoliopsida; Solanales; Solanaceae. The record is from RNAcentral.
AAACUGUCUCGGAUGCCCCUUCCUCCUCAACUCGGGAGAAGACCGGGCUUUAGCCGCUUGAGCGCACUCGUCUCUCUCUUUAGGGGCCUUUGGGAAUCUUGUUCAAUGGGUAAUUCUGCAUCCACUUUCCAGCCGGUUGACGAUGUGGCAUUUCUUAGGUGAAAACUGUCUCGGAUGCCCCUUCCUCCUCAACCCGGGAGAAGACCGGGCUUUAGCCGCUUGAGCGCACUCGUCUCUCUCUUUAGGGGCCUUUGGGAAUCUUGUUCAAUGGGUAAUUCUGCAUCCACUUUCGAGCAGGUUGACGAUGUGGCAUUUCUUCCUAAACCUUCAGUCUUGUUCUAAGCGAAAGGGGAAUCGGAUUCUUGCACAAGCCAUUCAAAGAACUGAUUCUAGCAAGACCUAAUCG